GAACACCAGUGGCGAAGGUGGUUUUUCUGGACUUUAACUGACACUGAGUCACGAAAGCGUGGGGAGCAAACUAGGAUUAGAUACCCUGGUAGUCCACGCCGUUAAACGAUGAGCACUAGCUGUUGGGUCCGAACGGAUUCAGUGGCGCAGUUAACGCAAUAAGUGCUCCGCCUGGGGAGUACGUUCGCAAGAAUAAAACUCAAAGGUAUUGACGGGGACCCGCACAAGCAGCGGAGCAUGUGGUUUAAUUCGAAGCAACGCGAAAAACCUUACCAGAGCUUGACAUCCCUCUGACAGGACCUUAAUCGGUCCCUUCUUCGGACAGAGGAGACAGGUGGUGCAUGGUUGUCGUCAGCUCGUGUCGUGAGAUGUUGGGUUAAGUCCCGCAACGAGCGCAACCCUUGUCGUUAGUUACUAACAUUAAGUUGAGAACUCUAGCGAGACUGCCGAGGUUAACUCGGAGGAAGGUGGGGAUGACGUCAAAUCAUCAUGCCCCUUAUGUUCUGGGCUGCACACGUGCUACAAUGGUCGGUACAAUGGGAAGCAAACUCGCGAGGGGGAGCAAAUCACCAAAACCGAUCCCAGUUCGGAUUGUAGGCUGCAACUCGCCUACAUGAAGUUG
This 622-nucleotide ribosomal RNA is filed under the name uncultured bacterium. Its description in RNAcentral is "bacterial SSU rRNA". It matches the Rfam family "Bacterial small subunit ribosomal RNA", at positions 704 to 1328 of the family's 1533-position model. The record is from RNAcentral.